This 486-nucleotide ribosomal RNA is filed under the name uncultured bacterium. RNAcentral's name for it is "partial 16S ribosomal RNA". It matches the Rfam family "Bacterial small subunit ribosomal RNA", at positions 30 to 507 of the family's 1533-position model. The record is from RNAcentral.
AUUGAACGCUGGCGGCAUGCCUUACACAUGCAAGUCGAACGGCAGCGCGGACUUCGGUCUGGCGGCGAGUGGCGAACGGGUGAGUAAUACAUCGGAACGUACCCUGUUGUGGGGGAUAACUAGUCGAAAGAUUAGCUAAUACCGCAUACGACCUGAGGGUGAAAGUGGGGGACCAGAAACGGCCUCAUGCAGCAGGAGCGGCCGAUGUCUGAUUAGCUAGUUGGUGGGGUAAAGGCCCACCAAGGCGACGAUCAGUAGCUGGUCUGAGAGGACGAUCAGCCACACUGGGACUGAGACACGGCCCAGACUCCUACGGGAGGCAGCAGUGGGGAAUUUUGGACAAUGGGGGCAACCCUGAUCCAGCAAUGCCGCGUGUGUGAAGAAGGCCUUCGGGUUGUAAAGCACUUUUGUCCGGAAAGAAAUCGCGCUGGUUAAUACCUGGCGUGGAUGACGGUACCGGAAGAAUAAGCACCGGCUAACUACGUG